This 1251-nucleotide ribosomal RNA is filed under the name Triticum aestivum (bread wheat). RNAcentral describes it as "partial small subunit ribosomal RNA". The record is from RNAcentral. Lineage: Eukaryota; Viridiplantae; Streptophyta; Magnoliopsida; Poales; Poaceae.
AUGGUGGAGCACCUCCUUGAUCUUGGCGAAGAUCUUAUCGCCGACAUCUUGACCAACCUGCCGACGAGGUCCGUCCUCGUCGCGCGCGCCGUCUGCAUCGACUUCCGCCGCGUUGCCACCAGCGCGGCCUUCCUCGCCGCCCACGCGCGCCGUCGCCCGCUGGCCCCGCUCGAGAUCCUCCUCUACGACAGGACGACGGCAGGCCACGUCGACGACUACGUGUACCUGGACGCUCUGUCCGUCUCCGUCCGCCAUCCGGGCCGCCCGGCGCGCCGUCCGCUCGCGCGCCUCCCCGCGACCAAACCCCAGGCGGAGCUCCUGGGCGAGCAGUUCUGCCUCCCGCUGGCCUCGUGCGACGGCCUCCUCCUGCUCGGGACGGCCGUCGCCGGCCAGUACCUCGUCUCCAACCCCACCACGCGGCAGUGGGCCGAGCUCCCGCGGCUGCGCCGCCAACACAUUGAGGACGGCGGCCGGUCGCUGGAGUCCUUGCAUACCUCCGCGUACCAAGAGUCCGGGUUCUACUUCCACGAGCCGUCCAGCGAUUACCGGCUUCUGUGUCACGUCACCUUCGAAGAAGGCUUGCCCCCGGCGUACUACAUCUUCUCGACCGGCGCCGACGAGCCCCGCCAGCUAGACAACGUGAAAGCCGGGAGCAUGGGGGACUUCUUUUCCCCGUCUGGCUGUGACAUGAUCACCCCGGCGGUUCUCCGCGGGUACCUGCACUGGCUGAGGCACCCCGAGGCCGGUUCGGCCGGCGAGAUGGCGGCGUUCGACACGGCGGACGAGACUUUCCGGCGGAUGCCUGCCCCGCCCGUGGCCAACGAGCUCUUGGCCAGACUGCUCGUCGCGGACGGGUCGCUCAUGGCGUCCGAGUUCAGGAAGCUAGCCGUGGACCUGUGGGUGCUCCAGGGUUACGCUGGCGCCGCUUCUGCAUCCGCGGGAGGGACGAGGUGGGAGCUUCGUCACAGCUUUGAGGUGCCGUGGCAGGCCAGAAUGCCGACGUCCGCCCUGGUCGUGAUCGGCGGCGACGAGGAGGGGGACGUCGUCUUGGGCACCCGCCAUGGUGUGGCCGUGUACAACGUGCGGAGCGGGACGGUCAGGGCCGUCGACGUCGGGCCCAAGGGCUCUAAGGGCUUUAGACUGACGCAGCGCGCGCUAAGGAUACGGGAGAGUUUGGUGCGGCACACGUUUUUCGAGACGCAGCGGCAUCCCGGCAUUCCAUCGUUGUAUUGGCGGUUUUGUUCUUGUUAA